Gossypium raimondii (Peruvian cotton) is the source of this 145-nucleotide non-coding RNA. Lineage: Eukaryota; Viridiplantae; Streptophyta; Magnoliopsida; Malvales; Malvaceae. The record is from Rfam.
UGUUAAAAAUUUCAUCCAUUUUUAUUGUUGAAAAUCGAUGUGGUUGAUAAAAUGACUAAACAGUUAUACGUGACAUGUCAUGUGUACUUUAUUUUGAUUUACAGUGACCAGUCUUUAACAGCAGAAAUAGAUAAAAUUUUAAAUA